Long non-coding RNA from Camellia sinensis, 1235 nucleotides. RefSeq lists it as uncharacterized. The record is from RefSeq and is a predicted model, not a curated record. Lineage: Eukaryota; Viridiplantae; Streptophyta; Magnoliopsida; Ericales; Theaceae.
UGCUUCAUCUUCGUCGUCAAUUCAACAAUCCCAUCAUCGCGUUCUUCUUCAUUCUCAUAUCUCUCUCUCUCUCUCUCAAUUGCUAGGACUAAAACCCUAAAAUCAUGGGUCAGUCGAUCGGCUCGUUCGAGAUUACGGGGGUUUGUUGGAAACAGUGAGUGAUUGAAGUCGAUUGUUAAUGUGAUCAUGGGUUUGCGAGCUAUGCUGAGAAAAUGGUGAAGAGUUUGCCAAUUGAGUUGAGUUCUUUCCUGACUAAAAAGGGUGUUAGUGGACAUGGAUGUUGUGGGUGUUCCUCGCAAUGUGGAAACAUUAAUUUAAUUCGAUGUUAUGUUAGUUGUUUGUGUAAAAUUCACAAGACCGAAGAUGCCUUGAACCUGUUUGAUAGAAUGGGUGAGUGAGUGGGGAUGUCACCUACCCAGAUGAGAUGAGAAAACGUUUCUUGUUCUAUCUAAUUAAGAGUACUGGGGAAGGAAGGAAGGAAGGAAGGAAGGAGUCGAGAUGAUUGAUAAUCAAAUGAAGAAAUCUGCAGGAUUCGGGGAAGCACUCAAUAAGAAGAAUGCCUGUAUCAUGUAUUACGGGUUUCUUAAGAUUUUGUGUGGAAUUGAAUUUGAGAGAAUUUGAUCAUCUAUGAGUGUAGAUGAAGGAGGAUGUUGUAAUGUAAUCCUGGGAUUCAAACUUAUGACUUGUUUUGAUGGGGAAGUUGGUUGAUCUGAUCACGGCCGUGUGGAUUGAGUAGGGUUCCAUUAUACAACUUUGAUCCUUUACUUUUUGUGCUUCUUCUUGUUUCGGUUUUAAUGUUGGCAACACUUGAAUUACAAAUAAAAUCCAAAUUGAAGGGUAAAUUUUGUUGUCUAUGCAUUUGCAUUUGCUUUUGUUUUUGUUUUUGUUUUUGUUUUUGAAUGAUAGGAAAUGAAUGAGAUAAACGGAAGCUUGAGCGAAGAGAAGGCAUCAGUCCCGAUCAUGCGCAGCUUCUCAAGCUUGCAAAUCUGUCUGAGCUCUGUUUAAGAUAAGAUCGUAUGGAAGCUAAAAUAAACUACUAGAGUGCGAUGAAUAUACUGGGAUAUAUAUUUUUGUACUACAGACAAACCUUAUAGAUGAACAGCAACGUCAACAGCACCGAAGCUGCCAGUGUCAAAAAUGCAAUAUGAUUUCCUUUGGCAGAGUUUGGUAAAACUGGAUAGGCGUCGGGAGGUGGAAGCUUGCAUUCAUCCCCAUUAAAGUAAACCUUCCGAGGG